RNAcentral lists this ribosomal RNA (452 nucleotides) under uncultured bacterium. Its description in RNAcentral is "bacterial SSU rRNA". It matches the Rfam family "Bacterial small subunit ribosomal RNA", at positions 29 to 507 of the family's 1533-position model. The record is from RNAcentral.
AACGAACGCUGGCGGCAUGGAUUAGGCAUGCAAGUUGAACGAACCACUUCGGUGGAGAGUAGCGGAAGGGUGAGGAACGCGUGAGUAAUCUGCCCCUCAGUUGGGAAUAACAGUUGGAAACGGCUGCUAAUACCGAAUGUGGCUUAAGUUCCGCAUGGGACUUCGGCUAAAGAUUUAUCGCUGAGGGAUGAGCUCGCGUCCCAUUAGGUAGUUGGUGAGGUAACGGCUCACCAAGCCGACGAUGGGUAGCUGGUCUGAGAGGAUGGUCAGCCACACUGGGACUGAGACACUGCCCAGACUCCUACGGGAGGCUGCAGUCGAGAAUCUUGGGCAAUGCGCGAAAGCGUGACCCAGCAAUGCCGCGUGUAUGAUGAAGGCCCUCGGGUCGUAAAAUACUGUCUCCCGUGACGAAAUUUGACGGUAGCGGGGAAGAAGCCACGGCUAACUACGUG